GGAACAACAGGGUCACUAAACUAUUUGGCUGGCUACAACUCUGGGAAAUGGUAAGACAGGGAAAGGCCAUGUUGUUCAUUCCCUUGUGCAGAUCUAGGGAGAAGCCGCAGAGAGAACAGUUAGCAUUUCUUGUUACAAUGAAUUAUCCUAUUAAGAACACUGGAUGUACAGUCUCUUAAGAGAAGAGCUUGUCCUGAGGAAGGUGAGUAGUAAUCUAAAAAUGUCUUUAUAUUUGAGUUUUAAAAUUCAGGAACUAUUGAGCAUCAAUGUGGAAGUUGAGUGCUGAGGUCAAAUGAUGUUGCUUGGGCUAAGA
RNAcentral lists this long non-coding RNA (313 nucleotides) under Homo sapiens (human). Its description in RNAcentral is "HSALNT0094973". Lineage: Eukaryota; Metazoa; Chordata; Mammalia; Primates; Hominidae. The record is from RNAcentral.